This 253-nucleotide ribosomal RNA is filed under the name uncultured bacterium. RNAcentral's name for it is "partial 16S ribosomal RNA". It matches the Rfam family "Bacterial small subunit ribosomal RNA", at positions 524 to 776 of the family's 1533-position model. The record is from RNAcentral.
GACGAGCCACCCGAACGUUAUUCGGAAUUACCGGGCUUAAAGGGUGCGUAGGCGGUGUAGCAAGUCGGGAGUGAAAUACCCCAGCUUAACUGAGGAAUUGCUUUCGAUACUGCUGCGCUUGAGUGAGACAGAGGUAAGCGGAACUUAGGGUGGAGCGGUGAAAUGCGUUGAUAUCCUAAGGAACACCGGUGGCGAAGGCGGCUUACUGGGUCUCAACUGACGCUGAGGCACGAAAGCUAGGGUAGCAAACGGG